Molecule: unclassified non-coding RNA, 320 nt
Filed under: plant metagenome
Description: partial contains 5.8S ribosomal RNA, internal transcribed spacer 2, and large subunit ribosomal RNA
Rfam family: 5.8S ribosomal RNA (bases 1-105)
Source: RNAcentral
GAAAUGCGAUAAGUAAUGUGAAUUGCAGAAUUCAGUGAAUCAUCGAAUCUUUGAACGCACAUUGCGCCCGCCAGUAUUCUGGCGGGCAUGCCUGUUCGAGCGUCAUUACAACCCUCAGGCCCCCGGGCCUGGCGUUGGGGAUCGGCGGAAGCCCCCUGCGGGCACAACGCCGUCCCCCAAAUACAGUGGCGGUCCCGCCGCAGCUUCCAUUGCGUAGUAGCUAACACCUCGCAACUGGAGAGCGGCGCGGCCACGCCGUAAAACACCCAACUUCUGAAUGUUGACCUCGAAUCAGGUAGGAAUACCCGCUGAUCUUAAGC